UGAGGAAUAUUGGGCAAUGCCCGCAAGGGUGACCCAGCAACGCCGCGUGGAGGAUGAAUGUCGUAAGAUUGUAAACUCCUGUUAGAGGGGAAGAAUAGUACCGGUUGGACCGGUAUAUGACUGUACCCUCAGAGAAAGCCCCGGCUAACUACGUGCCAGCAGCCGCGGUAAUACGUAGGGGGCAAGCGUUGUCCGGAUUUACUGGGUGUAAAGGGCGCGCAGGCGGGAUAAAAAGUCAGUGGUGGAAUCCUACAGCUUAACUGUAGAACUGCCUUUGAUACUUUUAUUCUUGAGUUCGGGAGAGAGAGACGGAAUUCCAGGUGUAGUGGUGAAAUACGUAGAUAUCUGGAAGAACACCAGUUGCGAAGGCGGUCUCUUGGUCCGACACUGACGCUGAGGCGCGAAAGCGUGGGGAGCAAAC
Molecule: ribosomal RNA, 421 nt
Filed under: uncultured bacterium
Lineage: Bacteria
Description: bacterial SSU rRNA
Rfam family: Bacterial small subunit ribosomal RNA
Source: RNAcentral